This 330-nucleotide ribosomal RNA is filed under the name uncultured bacterium. RNAcentral describes it as "bacterial SSU rRNA". It matches the Rfam family "Bacterial small subunit ribosomal RNA", at positions 568 to 898 of the family's 1533-position model. The record is from RNAcentral.
UGUGCAGGCGGUCGUUUAAGUUUGGUGUGAAAUCUCCCGGCUCAACUGGGAGGGUGCGCCGAAUACUGAAUGACUAGAGUGCGGGAGAGGAGAGUGGAAUUCCUGGUGUAGCGGUGAAAUGCGUAGAUAUCAGGAGGAACACCGGCGGUGUAGACGGCUCUCUGGACCGCGACUGACGCUGAGACACGAAAGCGUGGGUAGCAAACAGGAUUAGAUACCCUGGUAGUCCACGCCCUAAACGAUGCAUAUUUGGUGUGGGCAGUUCAUUCUGUCCGUGCCGGAGCUAACGCGUUAAAUAUGCCGCCUGGGGAGUACAGUCGCAAGGCUGAA